CCCGUAUGAAAGGCAACAUGAGAGAAGGCCUGUCUCCUAAGGCCAGCCAGUGAAAUUGAACUGCCCGUACAAAAGCUGGCAUUAACAAGCUAGACAAAAAGACCCUGUGGAACUUUAACAACUUGUUUAUACAAACUAAACAAUAGUUUCAGUUGGGACAACUUUAGAAAAAAUAAACCUCUUAUUACAGCAUAGACCAACAAGUCUAAAAAUUUUUACCUCGACCCAGUCAUACUGAUUAACGAAACAAGCUACCCCAGGGAUAACAGCGCCACCUUCUCAAAGAGUCCAUAUCAACAAGAAGAUCUACGACCUCGAUGUUGGAUCAGGGUACCCAGACGGUGCAGCAGCUGUCAAAGGUUCGUUUGUUCAACGACUAACACCCU
Molecule: ribosomal RNA, 386 nt
Filed under: Calumma crypticum
Lineage: Eukaryota; Metazoa; Chordata; Lepidosauria; Squamata; Chamaeleonidae
Description: partial 16S ribosomal RNA
Rfam family: Bacterial large subunit ribosomal RNA
Source: RNAcentral